AGAGUUUGAUCAUGGCUCAGAGCGAACGUUAGCGGCACGCCUAACACAUGCAAGUCGCACGAGAAAGGGGGCAACCCUGAGUAAAGUGGCGCACGGGUGCGUAACACGUAGAUAACCUGCCCUCCGAAGGGGGAUAACGUUCCGAAAGGAGCGCUAAUACCGCAUAACGCUGAGACUGGUUUGCCAGUUUCGGACAAAGGUAGGGACCCGCAAGGGCCUAUCGUCGGGGGAGGGGUCUGCGGCCCAUCAGCUAGUUGGGGAGGUAAUGGCUCACCAAGGCAGAGACGGGUAGCUGGUCUGAGAGGAUGAUCAGCCACACUGGUACUGGAACACGGACCAGACUCCUACGGGAGGCAGCAGUGGGGAAUCUUGGUCAAUGGGCGCAAGCCUGAACCAGCGAUGCCGCGUGAGUGAUGAAGGCCUUCGGGUUGUAAAGCUCUGUGGGGCGGGACGAAAGAAUCGGUUCUAACAGGACCGAAGUUGACGGUACCGCCUUAGCAAGCACCGGCUAACUCUGUGCCAGCAGCCGCGGUAAGACAGAGGGUGCAAACGUUGCUCGGAAUCACUGGGCGUAAAGGGCGUGUAGGCGGGGAAGUAAGUCGGGCGUGAAAUCCCUAGGCUCAACCUAGGAACUGCACUCGAAACUACUUCUCUUGAGUAUCGGAGAGGAAAGCGGAAUACCUGGUGUAGAGGUGAAAUUCGUAGAUAUCAGGUGGAACACCAGUGGCGAAGGCGGCUUUCUGGACGGUAACUGACGCUGANNNNCGAAAGCGUGGGGAGCAAACAGGAUUAGAUACCCUAGUAGUCC
RNAcentral lists this ribosomal RNA (808 nucleotides) under uncultured bacterium. RNAcentral's name for it is "bacterial SSU rRNA". It matches the Rfam family "Bacterial small subunit ribosomal RNA", at positions 8 to 796 of the family's 1533-position model. The record is from RNAcentral.